AUAGAUUAUAGUAAACCAUCAAACCAGGAACCUCCAGGAACGACCGCGCAUGCGCUGAAUGCUGAAACGAGCACAGAUGUCAACCCAAGGAUCAAAGCCAAAGAAACCAGCGGUUCGACCAAUCCAAAAGCGGAUGUCCAUAGACGAUAGUAAACCAUCAAACCAGGAACGACCGUGCAUGCGCUGAAUGCUGAAACGAGCACAGAGGUCAACCCAAGGAUCAAAGCCAAAGAAA
RNAcentral lists this long non-coding RNA (235 nucleotides) under Dermacentor andersoni. Its description in RNAcentral is "uncharacterized LOC126533163". The record is from RNAcentral. Lineage: Eukaryota; Metazoa; Arthropoda; Arachnida; Ixodida; Ixodidae.